AUGAACGCUGGCGGCGUGCCUAAUCCAUGCAAGUCGAGCGAACGGACGAGAAGCUUGCUUCUCUGAUGUUAGCGGCGGACGGGUGAGUAACACGUGGAUAACCUACCUAUAAGACUGGGAUAACUUCGGGAAACCGGAGCUAAUACCGGAUAAUAUUUUGAACCGCAUGGUUCAAAAGUGAAAGACGGUCUUGCUGCCACUUAUAGAUGGAUCCGCGCUGCAUUAGCUAGUUGGUAAGGUAACGGCUUACCAAGGCAACGAUGCAUAGCCGACCUGAGAGGGUGAUCGGCCACACUGGAACUGAGACACGGUCCAGACUCCUACAGGAGGCAGCAGUAGGGAAUCUUCCGCAAUGGGCGAAAGCCUGACGGAGCAACGCCGCGUGAGUGAUGAAGGUCUUCGGAUCGUAAAACUCUGUUAUUAGGGAAGAACAUAUGUGUAAGUAACUGUGCACAUCUUGACGGUACCUAAUCAGAAAGCCACGGCUAACUACGUG
RNAcentral lists this ribosomal RNA (496 nucleotides) under uncultured bacterium. Its description in RNAcentral is "partial 16S ribosomal RNA". It matches the Rfam family "Bacterial small subunit ribosomal RNA", at positions 29 to 507 of the family's 1533-position model. The record is from RNAcentral.